GGACCCGUAGCCUAGCAAUAUAAAAGGUUUGUCCCUUGAUAACUAGAAUGGAUAAGGCACAAGCCUCCUAAGUUUGGAUUCCUGGGUUCAAAUCCCAGCGGGUCCGCCA
RNAcentral lists this transfer RNA (109 nucleotides) under Candidatus Helarchaeota archaeon. RNAcentral's name for it is "tRNA-Arg". It matches the Rfam family "tRNA". Rfam says of the family: Transfer RNA (tRNA) molecules are approximately 80 nucleotides in length. Their secondary structure includes four short double-helical elements and three loops (D, anti-codon, and T loops). Lineage: Archaea; Promethearchaeati; Candidatus Helarchaeota. The record is from RNAcentral.